This 643-nucleotide long non-coding RNA is filed under the name Triticum aestivum (bread wheat). Its description in RNAcentral is "long non-coding RNA (TAES_LNC028458)". Lineage: Eukaryota; Viridiplantae; Streptophyta; Magnoliopsida; Poales; Poaceae. The record is from RNAcentral.
UCAUACACUUUGCAGUCGCACAUACGCACAGACAUACACAUAAUUAAUAAUAAGUCUCGACGCAUGCAUGCAUGCAUGCACGUUCCAAAUUAAUGAGGUACAUCUGUGCAUGUGCACGCGAUGUUGUGUUAAACCUUAAUUGGUCGCUCCUCGUCGAUGUUUCGAUGAUGCCAUGCUUAAUAUCCUUGGAACUGGGGUGGUGGUGGUGAUGCGUAUUUUGCCGACACGACCGGCGGCAUGAUGAACUCGUCGAACUUCGGGGGUGUAAGUGAUUCCGCCAGAGGUGACUGUGGCUCUUCUUUCGCUGGUGCUGGGGUGGUUUUUGCUGGAGGAGGCAAUAACACUGGUGCCGGUGGCGGUGAGCUGACCGGUGCCGGUGGUGGAGGAGACUUGACUGGAGGCGGCGGUGAGCUAACUGGGGCGGGGGGUGGUGGUGAUUUCACCGGAGGAGGUGGUGAGCUCACCGGUGCGGGUGGAGGAGGAGACUUGACUGGAGGUGGCGGCGAGCUAACUGGAGCCGGUGGUGGUGGAGAUUUCACAGGGGGAGGUGGUGAGCUCACUGGAACUGGUGGAGGCUUCACCGGCACAGGUGGUGGAAGCACCUUCUCUGGUGCGGGUGGUGGAAGCACCUUAACUGGCGCUG